GCCAUUGUAGCAUAGUGGUUUGAGUGUUGGACUAUGGCUUUGGAGACCAAGGUUUGAAUCCCUGCUGGGCA
Non-coding RNA from Phrynosoma platyrhinos (Desert horned lizard), 71 nucleotides. NCBI's taxonomy places the organism in Eukaryota, Metazoa, Chordata, Lepidosauria, Squamata, Phrynosomatidae. The record is from the annotation of a GenBank genome assembly.